CAGUCUUUGCCCUUCAAUGCCAUAGAUUUGUCCUCAUCGAUGAACAAUGAUGGAAGCUCAGCAAGCACAGGCUUGGACUCUUGUCAAGAGCCAAGUUUAGAGUCAAGUUUGGAUUCUGCACAGCGGCUCAAUGCAGGGACCCCAGAGGUAUUUUACAGAGUGACACGCUUGGAAUCAAUGAACAGGUAUUUUGUAGGUUUAGAAACGUGUACCAUAUGUGACACGGAAUUCUAUUCAAUUUCUGUUCUGUCCUCAACACUUGUGCUCUGCCCUGUAUAUUGACAGAUAGUUCAACAGCCCUUUCUUAUUAACACUCUGGAGAAAGUUUUGUCCUUUAUGAAGGUUUGAACAUAAGAAGCUUUUUCUCCAGCAAAACUCUAUGGGAAAUACAGAAAGCAAAUAAACGAUUUGUCACUUUUACUCUACGGACACCAAUGUGAAUGAAUAAGAAAUUAAGGAGAUCCACAUGCAUGAAUUAAAUCACAAUACAUCUGUAGAUAAAUCAAAAUGCAGUACAUCUAUGAUGCAAAUGGUUUGAGAGUCUGGAGUUCCAGUAUGUAAUUAUGAUUUGGGUAAUCUGAUUUUUAGGACUCGUGUGGAUGACUUUUUUAUUGAUGAUUCUGAAGAAGAGAGGUCAGAUGAUGACCUCAUGGCAGUUGCUUAUGAAAA
Molecule: long non-coding RNA, 669 nt
Organism: Hippocampus zosterae (dwarf seahorse)
Lineage: Eukaryota; Metazoa; Chordata; Actinopteri; Syngnathiformes; Syngnathidae
Exons: 3
Source: RefSeq, a predicted model, not a curated record